GGAACGGGUGAGUAACGCGUGAGCAACCUGCCUAUGACAGUGGGAUAGCCUCGGGAAACCGGGAUUAAUACCGCAUAAAAUCGUAGAAACACAUGUUUUAACGGUCAAAGAUUUAUCGGUCAUAGAUGGGCUCGCGUCUGAUUAGCUAGUUGGUGAGAUAACAGCCCACCAAGGCGACGAUCAGUAGCCGGUCUGAGAGGAUGAACGGCCACAUUGGAACUGAGACACGGUCCAA
RNAcentral lists this ribosomal RNA (235 nucleotides) under uncultured Eubacteriales bacterium. Its description in RNAcentral is "uncultured Clostridiales bacterium partial 16S ribosomal RNA". It matches the Rfam family "Bacterial small subunit ribosomal RNA", at positions 100 to 334 of the family's 1533-position model. The record is from RNAcentral. Lineage: Bacteria; Bacillati; Bacillota; Clostridia; Eubacteriales.